AUUGAACGCUGGCGGCAUGCUUUACACAUGCAAGUCGAACGGCAGCACGGGUGCUUGCACCUGGUGGCGAGUGGCGGACGGGUGAGUAAUACAUCGGAACGUAUCCUAAAGUGGGGGAUAACGCAUCGAAAGAUGUGCUAAUACCGCAUACACUCUGAGGAGGAAAGUAGGGGAUCGAAAGACCUUAUGCUUUUGGAGCGGCCGAUGUCUGAUUAGCUAGUUGGUAAGGUAAUGGCUUACCAAGGCAACGAUCAGUAGUUGGUCUGAGAGGACGACCAGCCACACUGGGACUGAGACACGGCCCAGACUCCUACGGGAGGCAGCAGUGGGGAAUUUUGGACAAUGGGCGCAAGCCUGAUCCAGCAACGCCGCGUGAGUGAAGAAGGCCUUCGGGUUGUAAAGCUCUUUCAGUUGAGAAGAAAGAUUAGUGACUAAUAAUUAGCAAUUCAUGACGGUAUCAACAGAAGAAG
RNAcentral lists this ribosomal RNA (470 nucleotides) under uncultured bacterium. RNAcentral's name for it is "bacterial SSU rRNA". It matches the Rfam family "Bacterial small subunit ribosomal RNA", at positions 30 to 490 of the family's 1533-position model. The record is from RNAcentral.